RNAcentral lists this ribosomal RNA (219 nucleotides) under uncultured bacterium. Its description in RNAcentral is "partial 16S ribosomal RNA". It matches the Rfam family "Bacterial small subunit ribosomal RNA", at positions 129 to 334 of the family's 1533-position model. The record is from RNAcentral.
CCUCUGGACGGGGGACAACACUUUGAAAAGGGUGCUAAUACCGCAUAGAGUUGCGCGAUCUAAGUUGCGUAAUGAAAGGUGGCCUCUGCUUGCAAGCUAUCGUCCGGAGAUGAGCACGCGGCCUAUUAGCUAGUUGGUGAGGCAACGGCUCACCAAGGCGACGAUGGGUAGCUGGCCUGAGAGGGUGAACGGCCAUACUGGGAUUGAGAUACGGCCCAG